This is a long non-coding RNA of Rhea pennata, 1733 nucleotides long. RefSeq lists it as uncharacterized. NCBI's taxonomy places the organism in Eukaryota, Metazoa, Chordata, Aves, Rheiformes, Rheidae. The record is from RefSeq and is a predicted model, not a curated record. The transcript has 7 exons.
CAGGCUCCCCGGGGAGGGAGGGCAGCCAUACAUGCGGCCGGACCCGCUCCCUCUUCCGCUGCCAGGCUGAGCGGGUCAUGGUUUGCCGAUUCAUUUGCUGCUUUUGGAAAAAGGAACUCCAUACUUGGGCAAAAGUCUCACUUUGGGGAGAAUGAGUUAUGCAGAUACAUCAGUUUCAGAAGGCUAUGCUAUGGGCUGGAUAAACAAAAUGCAGUACAAGGAUAAGAACAGCUGUCAAGGCUAUACUGGAGAACUAUACCCAGAUGAAUUGCCCCUUCAUGAUCUGAAGUUUCCAUGUGUCUUUACCCAUCUGUUAAAUCUCUGUGACAUACUCCUGUGCAAUCAACAGAUCGAAGAGUCUGUUAUGCUCUAAAAAUACCCACAUGAAACAAACUGAGGAGCUCCAUAAAAACUUUUCAUAAAUAAAAAUACACGCUAUAAAACCAGCUUCACAACUGGAACCUAUGCUGAUAGGUUCAGCAGAAAGAACAGACUGAAAACUGAGCAAAUCGCUUCUCCACUGCGCUCUCUACUGAAACUUGAGAUAUGCAAAUGAAGUGGCAUCACAAAAACAUGUCUUGUUACUACUUCAUUAUGUGUCAGACAUCUAAAGAUGAAAGAUUUUGAUUUCCAGAACAAUUAACCUCAUAGCAAUGUUCAGUUCAUUUGCAAAAUGAGACUCUGGAAUGUGAGGUUUUCCUGCUUCAAGUCUCUUCUGCUCCCCUUUCAAGUAAGUUAUUGAACCAUAAUAAUUAAAAGCCCUGAAAGAAUGAUGAGUGUAAAGAGGAUUGUGCCUUUUUUGGAGAUAAUGACAUUCAGAUCUAUUGAUUCCUUCACUCAUUUGAACAAAGAAACAAUGGACCUGAUCCACAGCCUUCUGUAAUUAAUGAGAAGUUUUUCAACCUUGAACAUUCACUGAGCAAUUUUUGCUAAGAAGAAGUAUCUGUGUGGAAGACUGAAGUAGGGUAUAUUUAAAGAGUCCACGUUCACUUUCAUUACACUUCUCCCAAGCAUUCCCAAGAAAAUUCUGCAUCAUACUGGUACUGCUGGGGAACCAAAACAAAAUAGCCUUCAAAAGCCAGAUAAAUUCUGUGGUUAUAAACAAGAUCAGAAAAAGAGAUUGAAAUGAGGAUGAAACUCCAGCUGCCUCCAGGCUGCUUUUUGGUAUACCGAAACCCAAUUGCAUCAUCAUUGUCUAUGGCACCAAAUAUCUAGUCAGGGGGAAAAAAAAGUUGUUAUACAUUAAGUAACAGGUGAGUUUUCUGUUUACUAUUUUUCCAAAGAGGAACACCAGUUUGGAAGUUGAAUUACCACAAACUGAGAUGUUAUGAAGCUAUUACAAGCAGAUAUAAGCAAGAAUUUCAUGCAAACAUUUGUAAUGCUCAUAAAUAAGCAUAAUAAUUAAAAAGGUACACAAAGGGCCUCUACUGGUUCAAAUGACAUACUUUUUCCAGAGAAAAAAGAACGAGAAGAGGUAGAAAAAGGAGGCAAAACCAAACAUCCACAGAGCUUAUCUUCUGUUCCUCCCAAUCCUUUGUCCUCACAUUCCACCUUCCCAUUACUAUUUUUUUUUACCUAUUUUAAAAAAAUGGUUAUCUCCACCAGCCAUGAAUUGAAAAUGAAAUUUUCAAAGUACAUCAUUGAACUGAAGCAUCUGCACUCAGACAUUCAACAGUAACCAUCUCUAUUAACAACAAUAAGUUGCCCUAGGAACAAUUUAGUAUUUCCAAUAA